UGUAAAGGACUUUUAACGGGUUUUUCUACUUGAAUUUUCUACCGGUAUUUUAAUAAUAGUUUGUAAUUAUUUAUGUUUUAGCUCUCAGGAUUGAAGGUGGUGCGUUUGGCCCAGAUGGUGGCGCCCCCUGUUGCUGUGGCUGUCCUGUGAUCAACAUAAAUCGAUGGAGGAAAAUCCAACGAGUGUUUGUGACGUCACGGUGUUUGGUGAUUCUUUGCUCGGGAGCCUCCGAUCCAGAACCUGUCAGCACCUACCGCCAAGCCUCGGCAACUCAGCUUAGUUUUUCUAACUCCUUCUUAUCUACAUAGAGGCUCGCUCCUCUGGUCACCGUUUGCUCGAUUACCUGUCCGCCCUCCAACACCACCUCCACCAGCGAUCUACACCAAACUCUGAGACUCCACACGCCACCAACAAGCAGCCUCGACUCCAGCAGCCCCCACCGCUUCUUCCUCCCUGGCAGAUUAACUGCAUUUCAUCAAGAUGCAGUCGAUCCUAUACAGUGGACUCCGGGACAAGAUUCACAUUUCAUUCAAUUCUCUGGACAAAAUAAACUGUAUUGAACUGA
Xiphophorus hellerii (green swordtail) is the source of this 565-nucleotide long non-coding RNA. RefSeq lists it as uncharacterized. The transcript is spliced from 3 exons. NCBI's taxonomy places the organism in Eukaryota, Metazoa, Chordata, Actinopteri, Cyprinodontiformes, Poeciliidae. The record is from RefSeq and is a predicted model, not a curated record.